UUUCUGGGAACGACCGAUAGGGAUUUUCCGCCGGGAGCUGAGGUUUGCGGGGGCUGAGCUCGAACCCGCUGGAAGUUCUGAGCACCCCGGUGCUGGAGGCGGGGGUCCCAGCGCGCCCGGGCCUCCCGGGGGCUUCUGCGCCCCAGACAGCACCCGGCGCGCUUUCCGGAGUGCUCGGAGUCACCCACCGCCCCAGAGAGGGUCAAGCUGCACGCUGGGACCAGCCGGGAGCGAGCGCUUUUCCACGGCGCCAGCCGAGGGGAGAGCCCCUCAUUCCUGUUUAAAGGCUUUCAGGAACGGGCUCCAACCCUUUUGAGUUUACAGGCGUCCAGAUGACAAGACAGGAAGAGGGGGCUGCCUCCCUGAAGAUGAAGUUGCUGCUAAAGUCGCACCACAUCUGCUUCUUCUGACAGCGCAGGCACUGGAGCUCCGGAAUCUUCCUUCUUGAGGCAUAGUGACCGGUUAAAACCACCCAGUGCAGGAGCCGUUAACCCGUUGAUGCUUCAGGCCAGGGAAUUCACCCGAGCGGGAAACGAGCCCGGAAACUCAACGGGCCUGAGAAGCCUCAUGGACUGCAGAUGCUUAUCAAGUCUAAAAGCGAGGCCAAGAAGAGAGGAGCCCCAGCUGGAACGCAGACCUGGGAAGGGGAGGAGAUGUCAGGUUUCACCUUGUCCUUGUUUUGUGUGGAGUCUUUUGAGAACCCCUGGUCUAGACAGAGGCAAGCAAUUUCGAACCUUUUACAGGAAAUCGCAUGGACAAUGACCAGGACAGAUAGACACAUGUCUGCAGUGACAGCACGCCCGGGCCGCGGCCCUGGGAGCACCCUGGGCCUGCACGGGCCGCCCUCGGCCUGCGGGGCUCUGCUGGUCAGCGGCUCUGCUGGUCAGCGGCCCUGCUCAUUCUGCCCGGCCGGCUUGGAGCUUGGAGUGGUGCCUGGCCCCGGGUGCCGAGCUUCUCUUGCAGGUAACAGCUCCAUCAUUGCCCCUGGCUACCUUGAAACAAUCCUCCUCCAAUGCCACCUUUGUUGGGGCAUUUAAAGUGAGACCAAGUCUCCAGGAAGACCUUUCCUGUUUCACUGUUGCAGUAAUGGAUCAAUAACAUUUUCAUAGCUCCUCUUUUCUUUUUUGUAACCAUUUGUCUAAUGAGAGCUGCUGUUCAGGCCCGAUGGCUUCAACGGGCUCCUCUGGCCUCCAGAAAGUCACAGCUGGCCCCUCAGGUGACCAGAUUCUUCCAAAAAUUCCAUCUUGGUUCCUUCUUUGAAGAAUUUUGCCUUUAAACUUUUCCGGAUAAACAGUUCUUCCUUUUACAUCUUCGCAUUACUGUGCAUAGAAUCAUAGACUGCAAAACUGCAAAGAGCUUUGCUUUGGAUCCUGAACUUUUUAAAGCGUAAGCCAUCCAUUGUGGAUGACUCCAGAGGGAAAUCUCAGCAGGCUGGAGUCCCCCAAGAUACAUUUAAUGCAGCACUUUCUCUCACUUAAUAACCAACGCUCCAUGUAGUAUCUAUAAAUACACAACACUAUUGCAGACACAGCAGUUUAAAGUAGGAAUAGUGUGAAAAGCUUUAGGUUUUAUCACAAACCAAAUGUUAUCUGGGGCAGUCAUUUUGGGAAAGAGUACUUCUUUGAAUUAAACAUAAGGCUUGAUUCCAGGGCAUGUUGUCUGCACUUUACUGGAAGCAAAGGAAAUAUUGGGCUCAAUAACAUGCAUGAAUAUUUCUGUCUGCUCUCUGUAUUGUGUGCUGUUCUUUUUGAUAGAGCAAAACUUCAUUAUGAAAUCAUUAAUGCUAUUGCUUAUACAAAGUAAUAGGCAGUUAACUCGGUGUUAUUUCAGUAUACUUCAUUUAAAUUAUCUCUUAAUUUUUGAAGGAUAUCAUAAAUUGAACAGAUAAUUAAGUUUGUUUUCUAUUUUUAAGAAAAUUACCUUGUAAAUUGACAUGUUUUCCUUUAGAGAUAAAGGCUCCUUAAUAUGUGGAGUACAAGCAAACUAAAUGUAUGGUAUUUUGUUUCUUUUUUGUUUAAGAAAAAAGUGGUAUUAGCAUCAUUAGUGAUUUCAAAAAUUUUAAUUUGCUACCUAAAGUUGAAUGGAAAUGAGUUACACCAGUUCAAUGACUUAGAAAGAAAAUCUCAAUUAAAAAAUUCCUCCUUAUAAAUCCAUGUCCAGCAAGGCAAAUAUGUAGACGCUUACCCCAUACCUAAUUGUUGCACUGCUGUCAAUUUCCUAUUGGCAGCAGGUGAUCUGCAGCUUUAUUGGCGUUGUCGCAGCCGUAAGCAUGCCUCGUCCUACCCUAACUGAGAGGAUUGGGGCUUUGGGAGUGGAAUGCCAACGUCCAGGGGUUAGAGAAAGAAAGGCGUCCUCCUGGCUCGCCGUCCACGUCCGCUGUUUUCCAGGUCCCAGGUCCCAACGGGGGACUCCACUGUGCCCUGAUCAGGAGGCUUUGGGCCACCUCCUCUGUAUUAGUGACACCUCCGGGAAACCCCAGGCCUUCUGCAUUCCUAGAUGAUUCGAACACAGCUGUCACCCCGUCAGCUGUAAGGAGUUGCUCAACUGCUCGUUGUCCUGUUUCAUGAGCUCCUCGCACCAAGGUCCCAGGGUUCCAGCGCCCGCUCGGGGGGCUUCACUUUGUGCUCCCCUUCCCCAGCUCCUCUCCCGGGCCCCAGGCGCGCUGGUCUGGGGUCUCCGUUCUAGGCCCCACGACUUAAUUCCUUGUUCCAAGUGGAUGCUCCACCUCAGGCGCAGCAGCUCCCAGGUGCGCUGACCGCACAGCGUGGGCCGGAGCAGGGCUCUGGGGGGCAGGAGGGCCAGGCGGGAUUCGCUGGUCCUCACCACGGCCGCCCCGUGCGGAUCUCCUGGCAGAGCCUCAGCUGGCAAGGGUCCUGCUAUUUCUGUGCAGUUACUGGCCUAAGCUGACAAAAAAUGCACUGCAUGAAAACAAAAUUAAAAUCCGUGAUUACUCUGUCACAGCAGCAGAAUGCUGCUGCCAAACGCCACGGAGUCUCUCAUUAGCAUCACUUGCAGUUUGUGGGGAAAUGACUUCACCACUGAGCUACACACUUAGAAUUCCAACAUCGAUUAAUCGAACCAUGACUCUGUGAUCACGAAAGCAAUUGCUUUUAACUGUUUGAUUUUAUGCUCUUUCUCGUCAUUUUCAAAAUCAUCAUAUUUCAGUAAUAACAUGUAUUAUGCUUUUUCUAGUAGGUUGGUUAUUAGCAAACAUCUUCUAGUUUUCUGACCAGCAUACAUUUGUUUUAAGUUGCUAAGAAUGACAUAAAAUGUUCCAAUGAAAUCUUUAAAUGAGGAUGUUUUGACGUUGAUUAUCAAGAUUACUGCCAUCAGCAUGACUUGCUGAAUAUUUCAAGAGCCUGGGAAGGAACUUGGACUCUGAUUUCCCUUACUGUGAGAAAAUGACAUUGCUGAUCACUAAUCAGCAGACUACGUUACUGGAAUUGUUUUCCCAGGUGUGGCAAUCAGCUUCCGCUGUGUCUACCCUAUAAACACACCGCGUUUGUAGCACUGGGUGAACAUCUGAUAGAAGCCCAGGGGGCGAAAAUUAAAGACCCGCCGCCACCCCUAAGUGGAUGUUUUUGUAAAUCCCAAACCCGAAACUUGCUUUUUAUCAGUGAACAGCUUCACUUAUUUGUUCAUUAAAGUACUUAUUGAAUGUAAGUCGUUAUUCUCUUCGAUGCUAUGGGAUACAUAAAUGAAUAAUGUCUGUCUUAAACCUCAAGGUAUCUUGCCACGAGGUGGGAAAUGCCAUAAUACAAAUCCCACUUACAUUUUUUUUUUUUACAGCUGCUUAGGUUUGUGAGAGCCAGAGAAUAAACAAAGUUAUUGCAGAGAUGAAACUUCUCUU
This is a long non-coding RNA of Dasypus novemcinctus (nine-banded armadillo), 3850 nucleotides long. Lineage: Eukaryota; Metazoa; Chordata; Mammalia; Cingulata; Dasypodidae. The record is from Ensembl.